UGCGAGUCUUUGCAGUAAUGCAAGGCAUACGGCUCAGUAACACGUAGUCAACUUACCCUAUGGACGAGGAUAAUCUCGGGAAACUGAGCAUAAUACUCGAUAGAUCAUAAUGCCUGGAAUGGUUUAUGGUUGAAAUGAUUCGUCGCCAUAGGAUGGGACUGCGGCCUAUCAGCUUGUUGGUGAGGUAAUGGCCCACCAAGGCGAUUACAGGUACGGGCUCUGAGAGGAGAAGCCCGGAGAUGGGUACUGAGACAAGGACCCAGGCCCUAUGGGGCGCAGCAGGCGAGAAAACUUUGCAAUGUGCGAAAGCACGACAAGGUUAAUCCGAGUGAUUUCUGCUAAAGAAAUCUUUUGCAAGUCAUAAAACCACUAGUGAAUAAGGGGUGGGCAAGUUCUGGUGUCAGCCGCCGCGGUAAAACCAGCACCUCAAGUGGUCAGGAGGAUUAUUGGGCCUAAAGCAUCCGUAGCCGGCUCUGUAAGUUUUCGGUUAAAUCCAUGUGCUCAACGCAUGGGCUGCCGAAAAUACUGCAUAGCUAGGGAGUGGGAGAGGUAGACGGUACUCGGUAGGAAGGGGUAAAAUCCUUUGAUCUAUCGAUGACCACCUGUGGCGAAGGCGGUCUACCAGAACACGUUCGACGGUGAGGGAUGAAAGCUGGGGGAGCAAGCCGGAUUAGAUACCCGGGUAGUCCCAGCUG
Molecule: ribosomal RNA, 695 nt
Filed under: uncultured archaeon
Lineage: Archaea
Description: bacterial SSU rRNA
Rfam family: Archaeal small subunit ribosomal RNA
Source: RNAcentral